CCGCCUCCUCCUCCUCCGCCUCGGCCGCGCGCCCGGAAGCGGAAGUGAGGUAGUAGCCCGGGCGUGGUGGCGGUUGCAGCAGUGUCGUCGCCUCCUUUCUCUCAGCGCCGCAGCGGAGCGGUAGCCCUUCCUGCCUCCCUCCCUCUCUCCCUUCCCCGUCAAGGCGGGCUCUGCGCGUUUCCUAGCAACGGUGGCGAGAGGACUGCAUUUCCCAGCAUGCCAAGGGCUGCUUUUGGGCUCCUCGCCCGCUCACUCCGCGCCAUUUGCGGUGGAACUUGCUGGAAGGAGGAAGCAGCCGUUGCUGCAAAGCGGGCCUCUCCGCCGCCUGGCCUCGGAGGAGGAGGAAGAGGCCUGUUGUCCCGGUUGUUCAUGGAAGAGCUACUGUAAAAUGGUGGCAAUUACACCUUUUCUAGAAAAAAUGGAUCAAUCAGUUUUAACUGAGUCUUGAAGAGUACUUUUUAAAUUGCACUUGAACUGGCUGUUGGUUGCAAGAUAAUGAUCUCUUCUAGAUACCAAUGUCAACAAUGGUACAUGUGAUUCUUCACUACAAAAAUGAAACAUGUCUCACACAUAGGAACUAGAAUGAAUGCAGCACUAUAGCACGUGAGAAGUAAAGAGUUCACACUUUAUAUGUGUUUGUUGUUGGGUGCUUUUUAAGUCAUUCCUGACAUUAUAGGAUUUUGUAAGCAAAAUCUGUUCAGAAGUUAUAUGUUUUUGAUGUUAUCUGAGGUUGAGAGAAUGUAACUUGCUGAAGGCCACUCAGUGGGUUUCCAUGGUUCAGUAGGAAUUCAAACCAUGAUAUAAGGGGUCAUAGUCCAAUGCUGAAACCAAUACACCAUACUGGUUCCAUUCAGCAAAUUCGAUUUUUUUUCCAUGUUAGGAGAGAUUUGAGAUACUGCAAGUCAUUUUCUGGUGUAAAUAAAUUUGAAUAAAUGCACAAUUAUCAUUCAUGAUUAAGCUUUAAUCAUAAACGAUACAUGUUUAUUCAUUCAACAUUUGUCAUCUUGUAUUCACAGUAAAAAUGUAUCAAAAAGGUAUACAGGCUUAUAUGUAUAAACCAAUUCUUUAGAUAGCCAUGUCCCCAUCCCAUAAAUAAUUGUAUGGAAAAACUAGUACCAAAA
Molecule: non-coding RNA, 1121 nt
Organism: Anolis sagrei ordinatus
Lineage: Eukaryota; Metazoa; Chordata; Lepidosauria; Squamata; Anolidae
Source: RefSeq, a predicted model, not a curated record